Molecule: ribosomal RNA, 588 nt
Filed under: Unio pictorum (painter's mussel)
Lineage: Eukaryota; Metazoa; Mollusca; Bivalvia; Unionida; Unionidae
Description: partial 12S ribosomal RNA
Source: RNAcentral
AUUACACAAAUCGAGACAACUACCAACUCUUAAGGCUACAAGAUUAACUUUUAAUGUAGAAAGUAAAUUAAAACUAAACCCAACCCAGCCAUAAUCCUAGCUGUCUCAACAAACCAUAAUCUUAGAACUCGGAUUAGAUACCCGACUACUAUAUGGCCCAACACAAAAAAGAAUACUACGAGCGAAAGCUUAAACCUCAAACAAUGUGGCGGUGCCUUACUCCUCAUCAGGGGAUCCUGUGGCUUAAUUCGAUAAUCCACGAAAAUCUUAGCUACCCUCGUACUUCAGCUUGUGUAUGGCCGUUUAUGCUUGCUCGAAAAAGAAAAAAAAGGAAGCAAUAGAACCAACUACUCAAAAAUUCAGGUGACAUACAGCCAAUGAGAAGCAGACCCAUGGGAUACAAAUAAACAUACUAUACAAACUUAAAGUUUCAAACUUUAACGAAGGAGGACUUGAAAGUAAGACUUUCAACUUUACACAAAAUAAGUCUGAAUAAGAACUAAAGCGCGCACAAAUCGCCCGUCACUCCGACAACAAAGUAGGACAAGUCGUAACACAGUAGGGGUAAUGGAAAUUGCCCCUAUCACA